UGCCCCAUGGCUGAGUUGGUUACAGCGUCCGACUGUUAUUCGUUCUGUGCAUAAUUUGACAUCGGAAGGUCGUGAGUUCGAGCCUCACUGGGGCAG
Transfer RNA from Jaapia argillacea, 96 nucleotides. It matches the Rfam family "tRNA". Rfam says of the family: Transfer RNA (tRNA) molecules are approximately 80 nucleotides in length. Their secondary structure includes four short double-helical elements and three loops (D, anti-codon, and T loops). Further hydrogen bonds mediate the characteristic L-shaped molecular structure. tRNAs have two regions of fundamental functional importance: the anti-codon, which is responsible for specific mRNA codon recognition, and the 3' end, to which the tRNAs corresponding amino acid is attached (by aminoacyl-tRNA synthetases). tRNAs cope with the degeneracy of the genetic code in two manners: having more than one tRNA (with a specific anti-codon) for a particular amino acid; and 'wobble' base-pairing, i.e. permitting non-standard base-pairing at the 3rd anti-codon position. The record is from Rfam. Lineage: Eukaryota; Fungi; Basidiomycota; Agaricomycetes; Jaapiales; Jaapiaceae.